AAGUCGUAACAAGGUUUUCGUAGGUGAACCUGCGGAAGGAUCAUUAGUGAAUUUCGGCCUCUCUUUUGCAAAAAAGAAGGUCAUCUCACUUUCACAAACACUUGUGCACUUGUUUAUUACAAUUAAUUUUGUAAACACUUGUGUCAAUCAAUAACAGUUUUGAAUGUAAACUUUGAUAAUGAAAGUAAAACUUUCAGCAAUGGAUCUCUUGGCUCUC
This 217-nucleotide unclassified non-coding RNA is filed under the name fungal sp. RNAcentral describes it as "partial internal transcribed spacer region". The stretch from base 1 to 46 matches the Rfam family "Eukaryotic small subunit ribosomal RNA", at positions 1786 to 1831 of the family's 1831-position model. Lineage: Eukaryota; Fungi. The record is from RNAcentral.